AGGGCACCACCAGGAGUGGAGCCUGCGGCUUAAUUUGACUCAACACGGGAAAACUUACCUGGUCCUGACACUAGAAGGAUUGACAGAUUGAUAGCUCUUUCUUGAUUUGGUGGAUGGUGGUGCAUGGCCGUUCUUAGUUGGUGGAGUGAUUUGUCUGGUUAAUUCCGAUAACGAACGAGACUCUAGCCUAUUAAAUAACACGCAGAAUCUUGUCUUCUGCGGUGUUUCUUAAUGGGAUCAAGUGUGUUUAACGCUUUGAAACAGAGCAAUAACAGGUCUGUGAUGCCCUUAGAUGUUCGGGGCUGCACGCGCGCUACAUUGAAAGACAAAAUGAGCCUUCUAGUUUUUAAUAAAGCUAGUAAUCUUUGAAUGUUUUUCUUAAUGGGGAUAGGGGAUUGCAAUUGUGCCCCUUGAACGAGGAAUUCCCAGUAAGUGCUAAUCAUUAGUUAGUACUGAUUACGUCCCUGCCCUUUGUGCACACCGCCCGUCGCUACUACCGAUUGAAUGGUUUAGUGAGAU
RNAcentral lists this ribosomal RNA (519 nucleotides) under uncultured eukaryote. Its description in RNAcentral is "SSU rRNA". It matches the Rfam family "Eukaryotic small subunit ribosomal RNA", at positions 1161 to 1707 of the family's 1831-position model. The record is from RNAcentral.